RNAcentral lists this transfer RNA (78 nucleotides) under Phrynosoma platyrhinos (Desert horned lizard). RNAcentral's name for it is "tRNA-OTHER". The record is from RNAcentral. Lineage: Eukaryota; Metazoa; Chordata; Lepidosauria; Squamata; Phrynosomatidae.
GGCCAAGCCAGCAUGGUAUAUUGGUUUGAGUGUUGGACUAUGACUCUUGAGAUCAGGGUUCAAAUCCCUGCUUGGCCA